This 115-nucleotide ribosomal RNA is filed under the name Kwoniella shandongensis. Lineage: Eukaryota; Fungi; Basidiomycota; Tremellomycetes; Tremellales; Cryptococcaceae. The record is from RNAcentral.
UACGGCCAUAGAGCCUAGAAAACGCCACAUCCCGUCUGCUCUGUGAAGCUAAGCUAGGCAUCGCUCGGUUAGUACCAAGGUGGGGGACCACUUGGGAAUCCCGGGUGCUGUAGUU